Molecule: long non-coding RNA, 1413 nt
Filed under: Homo sapiens (human)
Lineage: Eukaryota; Metazoa; Chordata; Mammalia; Primates; Hominidae
Description: non-protein coding LINC00968:15
Source: RNAcentral
AGGUGGCUUCUUCUUGGAUAUCUGAAUGGUGGUGAGAUCAACCUCUGGGCCAGCCAAGUAUGGAACUCAAUCCAAAACAACGGACUUCUUUUGUUUCGUGUCAGUUCAGCUUCCUACAAACAAAAUUAAAGCAGCAUUGGUUUAGUAAUUGGAAAUGCAUAUCAAAGAAAAGAAGCUUAACUCAAAACAGAUUUUCCUAACCAUCUUCAAUGUACAUGUGUAGGAGAAAUGCAUUCUUUAUUUGUAGCAGUGCAAAUGUCAGUGAUUACAAACAUGUGUGUGACUGUUUGCCAGCAAUUUGUUCUUGCCCUUGGAUGAUCAGACCCUUACGGAAUCUAGGCAGACUGUGGAACUUCCAUUGGCUUCCACUGGCUUUGGUGUGAAAUAUAGAGAUAUGAGUAGUGGUGACAAGAGGGGACACGGGAAAGGCCCGUGGGAAUAGGCCUUUGAGGGGAAGCACGCUGAUCUCUUGUUCUGCAGCGCAUGCUUGGGAUGGUAUGCGCAUGCCUUCUCUCACUAAGACUAGGACUGCUUACAGAAUGCGAAUAUAAGUAUCCUUAUUUGGGAGAAAAGUACAUUUUCAAGGGCUGGUAAAAUGACGUGGAGGAAGGGAGGAUCCAGGGAGCCUUCUGAAGAGUAUUGUCAGGAUGUCUCUUCUCUUUCAGCCACCUGGAUAUGUUUCACAUUUUGUUUCCCAAACAAGGACUAGAUUGGAUCCCAGAAGGGAAUGGUUUCCUUAGUAUACAUUCCGAAUUCCUUUGUAAGGGAAAAAUCCACUUCAUCUGGUCUAAGAAUACGUAAGAACAAAUGAAAAUGUUGUGGCUGGAGAUGUUCCUGAGUUAAUAUCAGGAUGUUUGCCUGCUGGUUUCUGUUUUACCAAACAAAACAUAGCUGCCAAUUCAUCCAUCUGUAAAAGUGCUCCUUGUGGACCCCCUCAAGAGAAGUACUGGUUAUUUUAUUUGCAGAAAACGUUUUAUUGGGAGUUGUUUACUUUCUGUGACUGAAGUGGGGAACAUGAGGGUCCCUUUACGGAGCCCUCAUAUUCCAUGUGUACUCUGUAUUUUAUUGAGGCUGUUUCCCAGUCAGAACAGCGUCUCUCUUUGUUUGUCAUUCCAAAUCUUUCAGUGUCUUUAGAGCUCUGAGGGCCCUGGAGAGCCUCACCCAACCUCUCAUCCUUCCAUGGCUGUCCCCACCUCUGUGCACUUAUGAGUCAAUGUUGCCGCACUUCAUUACAUGCUGUUCAUAUUACAGCAUUAUAAGAUUUUUUCUUUUAAAAGCCUAUCUUCUUCAAUCGGGUAGUAAGACCAUUGUGGGUUGAGGCAUGUUUCAUACUUCCCACAUAAUCACUCCAGACUUAAAACAGAACCGGAAAUACAUGAAAUAAAAAAUUAUUUUUCUGUUCUCAAAUAAAAA